RNAcentral lists this transfer RNA (76 nucleotides) under Lautropia mirabilis. Its description in RNAcentral is "tRNA-Trp". It matches the Rfam family "tRNA". From Rfam's summary of the family: Transfer RNA (tRNA) molecules are approximately 80 nucleotides in length. RNAcentral also lists the same sequence under 3 other names. Lineage: Bacteria; Pseudomonadati; Pseudomonadota; Betaproteobacteria; Burkholderiales; Burkholderiaceae. The record is from RNAcentral.
AGGGGCAUAGCUCAACUGGCAGAGCGUUGGUCUCCAAAACCAAAGGUUGGGGGUUCGAUUCCCUCUGCCCCUGCCA